GGUUAGACCCGCGCUGGGCCGGAAUUAAACGCGAAUGAAGACAAACCAGACGUGAAAUUAGCAUCAUAAAUAACAACCAGGAUCCACGUUGUACAUCCCCCACACAAGACGCAGGGACGCCGCCAUUUACCAGUGCCGAGCAGAGAACGGCAUCCACCCGGCCGGCGUCAGUACUGUCAGUCUGCAGGUCACGUAUCCUCCGACGAUACGACCGUCCUUUGAGGAGAAAGUCAGCGUCCUGUUCGGCCAGAAGGUGGACUUCUCUGUGCAGUGUGAGGCCGACGGCAACCCC
Molecule: long non-coding RNA, 292 nt
Organism: Branchiostoma belcheri (Belcher's lancelet)
Lineage: Eukaryota; Metazoa; Chordata; Leptocardii; Amphioxiformes; Branchiostomatidae
Exons: 3
Source: RefSeq, a predicted model, not a curated record